This 253-nucleotide ribosomal RNA is filed under the name uncultured bacterium. Its description in RNAcentral is "partial 16S ribosomal RNA". It matches the Rfam family "Bacterial small subunit ribosomal RNA", at positions 524 to 776 of the family's 1533-position model. The record is from RNAcentral.
UACAGAGGGGGCAAGCGUUGUUCGGAAUUACUGGGCGUAAAGGGCGCGUAGGCGGCGUGCUAAGUCGAACGUGAAAUCCCCGGGCUCAACCCGGGAACUGCGUCCGAGACUGGCAUGCUUGAAUCCGGGAGAGGGAUGUGGAAUUCCAGGUGUAGCGGUGAAAUGCGUAGAUAUCUGGAGGAACAUCGGUGGCGAAGGCGGCAUCCUGGACCGGUAUUGACGCUGAUGCGCGAAAGCUAGGGGAGCGAACGGG